Molecule: ribosomal RNA, 258 nt
Filed under: uncultured bacterium
Lineage: Bacteria
Description: partial 16S ribosomal RNA
Rfam family: Bacterial small subunit ribosomal RNA
Source: RNAcentral
GAUCCUGGCUCAGGAUGAACGCUAGCUACAGGCUUAACACAUGCAAGUCGAGGGGCACCAGAAAGAAAGCUUGCUUUCUUUGCUGGCGACCGGCGCACGGGUGAGUAACACGUAUCCAACCUGCCCUUUACUCGGGGAUAGCCUUUCGAAAGAAAGAUUAAUACCCGAUGGGAUAAUGAUUCCGCAUGGUUUCAUUAUUAAAGGAUUCCGGUAAAGGAUGGGGAUGCGUUCCAUUAGGUUGUUGGUGAGGUAACGGCU